This 52-nucleotide transfer RNA is filed under the name Lepidagathis alopecuroidea. Its description in RNAcentral is "partial tRNA-Leu". The record is from RNAcentral. Lineage: Eukaryota; Viridiplantae; Streptophyta; Magnoliopsida; Lamiales; Acanthaceae.
CCAAUUAAUCAGAUCUUUAAAAGAUCUAUCGGACUGUGGAGUGAAUGAUUUG